CCUACGGGAGACUGCAGUGAGGAAUAUUGGUCAAUGGGCGCGAGCCUGAACCAGCCAAGUCGCGUGAGGGAGGACGGCCCUACGGGUUGUAAACCUCUUUUGCCGGGGAGCAACGGGCGCCACGUGUGGCGUCACUGAGAGUACCCGGAGAAAAAGCAUCGGCUAACUCCGUGCCAGCAGCCGCGGUAAUACGGGGGAUGCGAGCGUUAUCCGGAUUUAUUGGGUUUAAAGGGUGCGUAGGCGGAUCGUUACGUCAGUGGUCAAAUUGAGGGGCUCAACCCCUUCCCGCCAUUGCAACUGGCGUGCUUGAGUGGAAGAGAAGUAUGCGGAAUGCGUGGUGUAGCGGUGAAAUGCAUAGAUAUCACGCAGAACCCCGAUUGCGAAGGCAGCAUGCCGGCUUCCGACUGACGCUGAAGCACGAAAGCGUGGGGAUCGAACAGGAUUAGAUACCCCAGUAGC
This 459-nucleotide ribosomal RNA is filed under the name uncultured bacterium. RNAcentral's name for it is "partial 16S ribosomal RNA". It matches the Rfam family "Bacterial small subunit ribosomal RNA", at positions 338 to 794 of the family's 1533-position model. The record is from RNAcentral.